GGCGACCGGCGCACGGUUGAGUAACGCGUAUCCUAACCUGCCCUUUACUAUGGGACAGCCCGUUGAAAGGCGGAUUAAUACCGUAUGUUGUCAUGUUGAUGCAUAUUUUCAUGACCAAAGGCUUCGGCCGGUAAAGGAUGGGGAUGCGUCUGAUUAGCUUGCCGGCGGGGUAACGGCCCACCGGGGCGACGAUCAGUAGGGGUUCUGAGAGGAAGGUCCCCCACAUUGGAACUGAGACACGGUCCAAACUCCUACGGGAGGCAGCAG
This 267-nucleotide ribosomal RNA is filed under the name uncultured bacterium. RNAcentral's name for it is "partial 16S ribosomal RNA". It matches the Rfam family "Bacterial small subunit ribosomal RNA", at positions 90 to 354 of the family's 1533-position model. The record is from RNAcentral.